This 257-nucleotide ribosomal RNA is filed under the name uncultured bacterium. RNAcentral describes it as "partial 16S ribosomal RNA". It matches the Rfam family "Bacterial small subunit ribosomal RNA", at positions 793 to 1055 of the family's 1533-position model. The record is from RNAcentral.
GUCCACGCCGUAAACGAUGAGUACUAAGUGUUGGGGGUCAAACCUCAGUGCUGCAGUUAACGCAAUAAGUACUCCGCCUGAGUAGUACGUUCGCAAGAAUGAAACUCAAAGGAAUUGACGGGGGCCCCGCACAAGCGGUGGAGCAUGUGGUUUAAUUCGAAGCAACGCGAAGAACCUUACCAGGUCUUGACAUCGAUCUAAAGGCUCCAGAGAUGGAGAGAUAGCUAUAGAGAAGACAGGUGGUGCAUGGUUGUCGU